GUGGGUAUAGCUCAGUUGGUAGAGCACCGGGUUGUGGCCCCGGUUGUCGUGGGUUCGAGCCCCACUACUCACCCCA
This 76-nucleotide transfer RNA is filed under the name Acidobacteriota bacterium. RNAcentral describes it as "Acidobacteria bacterium tRNA-His". It matches the Rfam family "tRNA". Rfam says of the family: Transfer RNA (tRNA) molecules are approximately 80 nucleotides in length. Their secondary structure includes four short double-helical elements and three loops (D, anti-codon, and T loops). Lineage: Bacteria; Pseudomonadati; Acidobacteriota. The record is from RNAcentral.